RNAcentral lists this non-coding RNA (21 nucleotides) under Caenorhabditis elegans. The record is from RNAcentral. Lineage: Eukaryota; Metazoa; Nematoda; Chromadorea; Rhabditida; Rhabditidae.
UAACGCCUUUUUAAAGUCAAA